AUGAACGCUGGCGGCGUGCCUAAUACCUGCAAGUCGAGCGAACAGACGAGGAGCUUGCUCCUCUGACGUUAGCGGCGGACGGGUGAGUAACACGUGGAUAACCUACCUAUAAGACUGGGAUAACUUCGGGAAACCGGAGCUAAUACCGGAUAAUAUAUUUAACCGCAUGGUUCCAUAGUGAAAGACGGUUUUGCUGUCACUUAUAUAUGGAUCCGCGCCGCAUUAGCUAGUUGGUAAGGUAACGGCUUACCAAGGCAACGAUGCGUAGCCGACCUGAGAGGGUGAUCGGCCACACUGGAACUGAGACACGGUCCAGACUCCUACGGGAGGCAGCAGUAGGGAAUCUUCCGCAAUGGGCGAAAGCCUGACGGAGCAACGCCGCGUGAGUGAUGAAGGUCUUCGGAUCGUAAAACUCUGUUAUUAGGGAAGAACAAAUGUGUAAGUAACUAUGCACGUCUUGACGGUACCUAAUCAGAAAGCCACGGCUAACUACGUG
Molecule: ribosomal RNA, 496 nt
Filed under: uncultured bacterium
Lineage: Bacteria
Description: partial 16S ribosomal RNA
Rfam family: Bacterial small subunit ribosomal RNA
Source: RNAcentral